RNAcentral lists this ribosomal RNA (439 nucleotides) under uncultured bacterium. RNAcentral's name for it is "partial 16S ribosomal RNA". It matches the Rfam family "Bacterial small subunit ribosomal RNA", at positions 338 to 795 of the family's 1533-position model. The record is from RNAcentral.
CCUACGGGGGGCAGCAGUGGGGAAUAUUGCACAAUGGGCGAAAGCCUGAUGCAGCAACGUCGCGUGAGCGAUGAAGGCCUUCGGGUUGUAAAGCUCUGUUCUCAAGGAAGAUAAUGACGGUACUUGAGGAGGAAGCCCCGGUUAACUACGUGUCAGCAGCCGCGGUAAUACGUAGGGGGCGAGCGUUAUUCGGAAUUACUGGGGGUAAAGGGUGCGUAGGUGGUUUUUUAAGUCAGAGGUAAAAGGCUAGGGCUCAACCGUAGUAAGACGUUGAAACUGGGGAACUUGAGUGCAGGAGAGGAAUGUGGAAUGCCUGGUGUAGCGGUGAAAUGCAUAGAUAUUAGGAAGAACACCAGUUGCGAAGGCAGCUCUCUGGAGUGUAACUGACGCUGAGGCACGAAAGCGUGGGGAGCGAACAGGAUUAGAUACCCCUGUAGUC